AAUGUGAUACACACACACUUCCCAGGAUAAUCCAGUAGAUACAUGAUUCACCUGUUCUAAUAACUUAAAAUCACUCAUAAAUCAAGAUUAUGGCGCGUUGUAUCACGUCAUUACUGUUAAAUGACACAAUUAAAUACAACAUAAUCGGGCAUUUUGAACAUCAAACUAAAAAAUGAAUCUUGCAGGAAAGUGCCACAAUAAACUGCCACAUUGACAAAGACCUCGGGUCGUAAAUAAGGUCACAUCAGUCUAUGUCAUCACCACACAUGAAACGCAAUGUACCUCCAUUAUAUAAAACAUGCAGAAGAAUCCUUUCCAAGUAAAUAAAGCGGCCCUCGCAGGUGUGAGAAGCUCAGAAAGCAGCGGGCGAAUUCGGGUUGGAGGUUGCGCGUGAGCCAUCUGCCCCGUACUCCCGCCGGGCUUCCUUAAUCACACCCCGCAGGAGGCUUUUAUUUCACGGUGGGGGAUUCAAGUCCCACGUCCCUCACAGUGAACCGAGUCGAGUUUAACUGUGAACCAACGCCGAAAUUGUCCAGUCAGCUAAAAGUACUUCAGUUUAAUUUGACGUUUCCGACACGUCGCGGUAUAAUUACAUAAUUGAAUCCGAGCCAUGGGUGCUGUCUCUUGGGAGGUUAAACCCUCACUGAGAAGCAAACGCGAUACGCUUUCCCGACCACUCACAUGUAACUAACGUUCAAACGCAGCCCCCCCAGUCCAGACGCUCCCGGGCAGCAAAACAGGCGCCCCCUCGUCGCCUGGCUACUCCGCCUGUCAGUUAGCAGGCUGGCUAGACGCUCCGGCUAAAAAACAUCGCUUCGGCCAUUGGCUCAGUCCAAGCGGACCGGGGCGCCUCGCCAGGCGGGCGGCGACUGUCGGAGAAACGCGGUUAAUCGACCGCGGCCCCUUCCGGGCGGAAUCGGAUCGCGGCACAUCGGAAACACAUUUCAUUCAUAGAACCUUUCGUAAAAUGUGUGUUUUGCUCGGCUUCAACUUACAUGGGCGCUGAGAGGAUUGUGUUGAUGACCGUUCAUUUCUCCCGAUGGUGGAACACUCCCACGGUGACGUCAGAUAGCGUGCUCGACGUCAGAACAGCUGAGCAGCGGACAGAAACCUGUCCGGUGAGAUCCGUGCAGGUGAUGCGGGUAAUCCUGUGUCGUACAGUCAAUAGAUUAGAUUUGUGUUCUGAACGGGUUUUGAUGUCAUGUUUGAUGACUAAUUAAAGUGUUGUCAGACUCAAAUAAUGACCAUCUUUAGGCCAACAACAUUUUCAAGGCAAUGCUGAGAAGGCUUUGGAGUAUGUAAAGUUGACAUUACUCACAUUUGUCAAGCUACAACCCUGGAGGUCUUUGCCCGUCAACGUUAUUGUUUCCCAACAAACGUCAAUCAAAAAAUUAAUAAUUUAAUUGAAAUUCCUCUUAUUAUAUCCAAGGUUAAUUAAAGGUGCGGCUAGUAAAAUGGCUAGGUGCACUUGUAUAGGCAGCGAGAGGAUUGGUUUGUGUUUGUCGCUCUGAGAGGGAUACUUAGGGGGAUGUAACACAGGGAUCUGGUAGGUCUGGUGAUAUGAAUUACUGUUGUGGGACUGAAGAGCUUGAGAUUGACCUUGCGGUGGUUUUAAGAUUUGCGAGGAAGAAUAUUGAGAGGGCAUCUACUGAGAGAACUUUGGAUAUUGUGGCAUAAAUAAGAAUGCAGGGUGCUGAGCUGCAGGUGCCUCUUUGUUUUCAGUGUUUGACUGUGUAACGUCACUGGAGGGAAGCCGUGGAUGCCGAGGCAAAGUCCCGCAUCCCUAAUGUUUUGGACACUUUGGGUCAGUUACAUACCCUUGCGUAACUCUUUUCUAUUAAUGUAUAUACAUUUGACACUUAAAUGACAUACUUGUUUUAACAUACUCAUUUGUUUUUGUAUAAUAUGACAAUUUCCCAAUUUCCUUUUUUAAAUUCUGUCUUCCACUGUUGCACUGUGCUUAUUGUUAUGCACCCAUCACCAAGGCAAAUUAUGUCUAAAAUAUACUUCAACGGCAAUAAACCGUUUAUGAUUCUGAGUAAACUGCUCAAGAUGCUGCGGGAACUGGCUAUUGCCUCCAGGUCCAAUGUCCGGUAUAUAGGUAUGUGACUCCGAGCUCAAUAUCCUCCUUCCUGGGAAUAGAUACUUUUCAUCCUGCAAAUUGAGCAAAUCAAUGUGUAAAUUUGCCAUUUGUAAUCACAAGAGGGCCCACCAUACCCUGAUCUUUCUGCUAAACCCUCUUGAUUGACCAAUCGGACAGUUUUGUGCAAAACUCAAACUUAAAAUUGACUAAGUGCAGGAUGGAAGAAAUAAGCUUAGCGAUUUAUUGGGCCGAGAUAAGCAAAAGGUUCUUCUUUAGAUAUGAAUAAUGAGGCUACUGUUUGUGUACAUGUAUAAUUUGUCCUGCAGGACAAAUCAAACAUUAGAACAAAAUAAAUGCAAUUCUCAAUAUUUUAAUGCAGCAUUUCUGCAAAUGACUUUUAUCAUGGUAAUUCAUAUGAAGUAAUUUUAUAUGAUGAUAUACACAAUGAGAACAAGCAUGCAGCUUUCACUUAUUAUUAAGGUAAGCCAAACAAAAACACUAAUCUGAUGGCGAGAAGUGUUUUGAUGAGGCAAUGUCUUGCAGAAGAGUCUGUCCACAUUAUGUGAUUCAUUUCAUGGAGUCUGGAUAACAAAGACUGGGUCGUUAGAAGUGGUGCUCCUGACAAAAGAGACAGCUAAGAGCAGCUGGAGACUCAACACACUACCAGGCGACUGUAUCGGCACUUUAGAUGUAGAUGUAUACUCUGUAUCCAACUUCCACCAGUACCAAACAUAAACUGGAGGCGAAGGUAUUGUACCUACAUUUCCAUCAGUCGUGUCUUGUGUCCAAGAGGGAUGUAGGGGUGUGAUCAGACCUCCUGCUAAAGGCUGUCCCUGGCGAAUGCGUCUUCAAUGCGGCGCCUGAGGUUAACAGGCGUUGGCGUUCUAUCAGACAAAGAAUACAUUUGCAUACACCAACUUUUUGCCCCAUCAGCGUCAGAGCUGCUGCUGCUAACUGGAUCAAGCUGGUAUGCUGGAGUCUGUUGAUCAUCGUAUGGACUCAUCAAGUUGUUGGUGAAACCUUUUAUAGACAUAUAGAUAUAGUUUGCCAGUUACAUACACUCAGGUCUACCCAGGCUUUCUUAGAGGCCCUUUCCAAAUGUUUUUCAAGAAUCUACCCUACAAGCUGGUCUCCUCCACCGCUUUAGGCACUUCACUUCUGUUCGCCCCUUGAAUGAUCUCUUAACAGUGUCCAGAAGUUGCAGGAUCCCAUGACAACCAAAGAAAAUGCCUGAGCUAACUCAAGAAUUCUGGCCCAAAACUGACUGAGCCACCAACCCCAGCCCGAGCGCCUCCACUUCCCUAACACAGUUGUCACUCACUUUGCACACUUCUCAAUGCCCUGUGGAGAAAACCCACUGGCGUAGAAGACAUGAGAAAUGGAUGUAGAUGAGUGAAAGACUCAUGAACCCCAUGCAGAAUGGAAGUCCAAGGGGAGCGAAGGUAACCCAUGCCCAGAGAAGGAGCUGCAGAGCAACAUUGUGGAGGGCUGCCAGAGAAGCACGAGAGAGGAACAGACGGGUGCAAUAAGGAUCAAGCAGAAGGACUGGGAGUACAGGGCUGUCCAAUCCUCAAAAUGAGAGACAGUGAGAAGCAGAAAGAGGAAAAGUUAAAAAAUAAAUAUAAAAACAUGCUGGAGAAAUCAAUUUAUAAACCUGUAUUUUGAAUUAACUGUAUUUUACAAUGUAGCUAUGGAUAUUUUCAAAUAAGUACUGAUCAUAUUUUGUAAGCC
Molecule: long non-coding RNA, 3814 nt
Organism: Gasterosteus aculeatus aculeatus (three-spined stickleback)
Lineage: Eukaryota; Metazoa; Chordata; Actinopteri; Perciformes; Gasterosteidae
Source: Ensembl